This 333-nucleotide ribosomal RNA is filed under the name Escherichia coli. Its description in RNAcentral is "partial 23S ribosomal RNA". It matches the Rfam family "Bacterial large subunit ribosomal RNA", at positions 1 to 370 of the family's 2925-position model. The record is from RNAcentral. Lineage: Bacteria; Pseudomonadati; Pseudomonadota; Gammaproteobacteria; Enterobacterales; Enterobacteriaceae. RNAcentral also lists the same sequence under 1 other name.
GGUUAAGCGACUAAGCGUACACGGUGGAUGCCCUGGCAGUCAGAGGCGAUGAAGGACGUGCUAAUCUGCGAUAAGCGUCGGUAAGGUGAUAUGAACCGUUAUAACCGGCGAUUUCCGAAUGGGGAAACCCAGUGUGUUUCGACACACUAUCAUUAACUGAAUCCAUAGGUUAAUGAGGCGAACCGGGGGAACUGAAACAUCUAAGUACCCCGAGGAAAAGAAAUCAACCGAGAUUCCCCCAGUAGCGGCGAGCGAACGGGGAGCAGCCCAGAGCCUGAAUCAGUGUGUGUGUUAGUGGAAGCGUCUGGAAAGGCGCGCGAUACAGGGUGACAG